Molecule: non-coding RNA, 1391 nt
Organism: Peromyscus maniculatus bairdii (prairie deer mouse)
Lineage: Eukaryota; Metazoa; Chordata; Mammalia; Rodentia; Cricetidae
Source: RefSeq, a predicted model, not a curated record
GGCACUGGUCGAUAAGCCGGCGGGAUCAAGCCAGCGUAGCCUGCCUCCCUCCACAGUGCUCAGUCACCACUGGCUACUUGUGGAUGGCCCAAGGCCUCAGACGCUGGGGAGGGAAAAACAGGGCCCAGAACAGGCCCCCGAGUGUUGGUUCUCAGUCUCACUGAAGUCUGUGUUAAGACGCUGCAGGAACCAUGGAGUGGUCACAGCUUCUCAGAGUCACCUUUCCAAUGAAACUCUUCCAAAAGAAAGCUAAUUGAAUGCCAAUGUCAACUUUUCCUCUCAGAACCACAGACAGCACAGAUUUCCUGAUUGCAGAGGAUCUUGGCCAAGAAACCUGCUGAACCUUUCUGCUCACUUCCUGCAGUGGAAGGAACAGUUCCUCUAUGGUGGGCCUGGCAUUUGAGAUGAGAUUCUUGGAACAUUGUUCUUCUUCACCAUACCUGAGCCAGUGAAGGGGUUCCACCAUCGCUCCCCUCGGGCAGAUAAACCUGGUGACGGCUAGCAAGCAAGCAGCUUGUCCCUGGCCAGCCAGCCCCAGUGCAGGCCUACACGCAGGCUAGAGGAACUUAGCUGCUGUGCACGUCACAACCUGUCAACAGGAGCGUGACUGACCUCCCAGAGGAUGCAGAUGACCUCUGGGUCCUCUUCCCUCUGCAGAAUAUGGCAUCUGUGGACUGUGAUAUCUGCAGGGUGUCAAUCCCAGAAGCAGCUUUCACCACAUACCCAGGAAUGACUCUAUCCGAGCCAAGGAGAUGAUGACCAGAGAGCUGGGGACAGAGAACGGUCUUCGAUUAUUCAUCUGGCAAUGCGGUAGUAUCCAGAAAACAAAAGAAACUCAAGAAAUUUAAUAACAACCUGCUUGAAUAUGUAUGAGAGCUUUAGCUGACUAUCACUUAUGAAUAUCCUCCAAACCUUCAAAUAGAACGGGACACUUACUGUAAGAACUCACUGUUAACAUCAGCAAGAUACUCACUGAUGGGAGCAACUUCCACACAUCUCAUCUGCCAUACACGUUGGGGUCAUCUCCACUCACUCUCUCUAGGACAGCGCUUCUUGGCUGUCACUAAUAACUUCCAGCCAAAUGACAGGAGAGCGAGAAGGAGGGCUGGCUGAAGUGGGGGAUGGCACAGACCUCUGGGAGCAGACUGAACUUCUGAACUCAGCUUGGCUAGGAGACCUCAAGCCUCCCACCCAACCUAACCUCCAGCUGUCAAGACCUCCAUCCUGACUGGAAUUACAAUCAGUAUUUUCAGCUUUGCAGCCCUUCUGGAGAAUGUUCUACAUUUGAUAGGCCUUGUGGUCUCGGCAAGGAAGAGUGUUUUAAGUGGGGGGAGAAGCUUUUGGAGAGCGGCUGAAGAGUCGUGGAGAGAGAAGAAAAGAAAGCACUAUUG